RNAcentral lists this transfer RNA (71 nucleotides) under Candidatus Doudnabacteria bacterium RIFCSPHIGHO2_01_FULL_46_24. RNAcentral describes it as "tRNA-Ile". RNAcentral also lists the same sequence under 2 other names. Lineage: Bacteria; Candidatus Doudnaibacteriota. The record is from RNAcentral.
ACGCGUAGCGUUUUGGUGCGGGGUCACUGAUAAUGACGAGGUCGAUGGUUCGAGUCCAUCGUCGCCCACCA